This 253-nucleotide ribosomal RNA is filed under the name uncultured bacterium. RNAcentral describes it as "partial 16S ribosomal RNA". It matches the Rfam family "Bacterial small subunit ribosomal RNA", at positions 524 to 776 of the family's 1533-position model. The record is from RNAcentral.
GACGAACCGAGCGAACGUUAUUCGGAAUCACUGGGCUUAAAGGGCGCGUAGGCGGGCGGCCAAGUCAGGGGUGAAAGCCCCCAGCUCAACUGGGGAAGUGCCUUUGAUACUGGCCAUCUCGAGGGAGGUAGGGGCGUGCGGAACUUCCGGUGGAGCGGUGAAAUGCGUAGAUAUCGGAAGGAGCACCGGUGGCGAAAGCGGCGCGCUGGACCUCUUCUGACGCUGAGGCGCGAAAGCCAGGGGAGCAAACGGG